Molecule: transfer RNA, 87 nt
Filed under: Thermoanaerobaculia bacterium
Lineage: Bacteria; Pseudomonadati; Acidobacteriota; Thermoanaerobaculia
Description: tRNA-Leu
Rfam family: tRNA
About the family: Transfer RNA (tRNA) molecules are approximately 80 nucleotides in length.
Source: RNAcentral
GCGAAAGUGGCGGAAUUGGUAGACGCGCAAGCCUCAGGAGCUUGUGGUCGUAAGGCCGUGGGGGUUCGAGUCCCCCCUUUCGCACCA